RNAcentral lists this ribosomal RNA (482 nucleotides) under uncultured bacterium. RNAcentral's name for it is "partial 16S ribosomal RNA". It matches the Rfam family "Bacterial small subunit ribosomal RNA", at positions 28 to 507 of the family's 1533-position model. The record is from RNAcentral.
GACGAACGCUGGCGGCGUGCUUAACACAUGCAAGUCGAACGAUGAAGCAGAGACACGCGCACUUCGGUUCAAAUUUCACUUCGGAUUAGUGGCAGACGGGUGAGUAACGCGUGAGCAACCUACCUCUUACAAAGGGAUAGCCUCGGGAAACCGUGAUUAAUACCAUAUGACACAUUCAUAAGGCAUCUUAAGAAUGUUAAAGCUACGGCGGUAAGAGAUGGGCUCGCGUCCCAUUAGCUAGUUGGUGAGGUAACGGCCCACCAAGGCGACGAUGGGUAACCGGCCUGAGAGGGUGAACGGUCACAUUGGAACUGAGACACGGUCCAAACUCCUACGGGAGGCAGCAGUGGGGAAUAUUGCACAAUGGAGGGAACUCUGAUGCAGCGACGCCGCGUGAGCGAUGAAGGAAUUCGUUUCGUAAAGCUCUGUUCUAUGGGAAGAAAAGGACUGUACCAUAGGAGAAAGCCCCGGCUAAAUACGUG